Molecule: non-coding RNA, 22 nt
Filed under: Arabidopsis thaliana (thale cress)
Lineage: Eukaryota; Viridiplantae; Streptophyta; Magnoliopsida; Brassicales; Brassicaceae
Source: RNAcentral
CGGUGUGGUUUUAAUUGGUGCA